GAAAAUCAUAAAUUAAUAUGUUAAAUAAGGACACAGAGAGAGAGUAUCACACUCUGCUCAGUAGAACUGUGCAAAUGUUGGACAGAUUGUCUUUCACAGCAUGUUUUGAAAUAAAGCUGGAUCUCUUCCAGGCAUGUAGUGUAGCAGAUUUUAAAGGUGAAUUCCCCAUAUAAAAUGUGUUAGUAUGCUGUACACAGAAGAUAAGUCUUCACUAGCCCAGAUUACUAAAUAGCUU
This is a non-coding RNA of Pelobates cultripes (western spadefoot toad), 235 nucleotides long. The record is from the annotation of a GenBank genome assembly. Lineage: Eukaryota; Metazoa; Chordata; Amphibia; Anura; Pelobatidae.